ACCUGGGUUUGACAUAGCAGUGGUAGGAAGAGAGUCGGACCGACCUUCGGGAGCUGUUACAGGUGUUGCAUGGCUGUCGUCAGCUCGUGUCGUGAGAUGUUCGGUUAAGUCCGCUAACGAGCGCAACCCGCGUUGUGUGUUAUAUGUGUCACACAAUACCGCCGGUAUUAAGCCGGAGGAAGGUGCGGAUGACGUCAAGUCAGCAUGACCUUUAUAUCCAGGGCUACACACACGCUACAAUGGACAGUACAACAGGUUGCCAAGCCGCGAGGCGGAGCCAAUCCUCUAAAGCUGUCCUCAGUUCAGAUUGCAGGCUGCAACUCGCCUGCAUGAAGUUGGAGUUGCUAGUAACCGCAGGUCAGCUAUACUGCGGUGAAUACGUUCCCGGGGAUU
This 393-nucleotide ribosomal RNA is filed under the name uncultured Anaerolineaceae bacterium. RNAcentral's name for it is "bacterial SSU rRNA". It matches the Rfam family "Bacterial small subunit ribosomal RNA", at positions 973 to 1378 of the family's 1533-position model. Lineage: Bacteria; Bacillati; Chloroflexota; Anaerolineae; Anaerolineales; Anaerolineaceae. The record is from RNAcentral.